CAAAAAUCUCAUAAACUCAGCCUGAUGCUCAUAUGGAUACUAUUUACAUUAUUUAGAGGGUGCCGCCCUCGCCAGAUGCUGAUAGGGUUGCUUAUUACAUUAUUAGGGUGCUGCCCUCUCGUAUACUCAGCCCACUACUGAUCUCGUUACUAAUUUCGCUGUUAGAGGGUGAGACCCUCCCAUAAAAUCAGCUUGACACUUAUACUGAUACCAUUUACAUUAUUAGAGGGUGCGGCCCUCCCAUAGACGCAGCCCGCUGCUGACAUCGAUACCUAUUUCUCCAUUAGAGGGUGAGCCUCUCUCAUAACUCGGCCCGAUGCUGAUUUGUUACAUAUUACUGCUUACGUUACAG
This is a non-coding RNA of Pelobates cultripes (western spadefoot toad), 352 nucleotides long. Lineage: Eukaryota; Metazoa; Chordata; Amphibia; Anura; Pelobatidae. The record is from the annotation of a GenBank genome assembly.